Long non-coding RNA from Oryzias sinensis (Chinese medaka), 3829 nucleotides. NCBI's taxonomy places the organism in Eukaryota, Metazoa, Chordata, Actinopteri, Beloniformes, Adrianichthyidae. The record is from Ensembl.
UUUUGUUUAUUUUCUACGUUUUGAAUAGAGUCAGCUAUUACUCAAAUUUAAAAAAAUUAAAGUUGAAAGUGAUAUUUCACAAAAUAAAUUUGAAAUCCACAUUUUUACAUCUAUAAAGUUUUUAUUUUUCCCUCUUGAAUCAUUAGAUUCUUUUUUUAAAUAAUAAAAACACCUUCAGCAUUUUUGCCUCAAUCUUGCUCACACGGUGAAUGUUGAAUAAUUAAUUUCUUUGCACAUUUUGGUUAGUGUUGACGGCUUGAGUUACUUGGUGACGAACUGCUCUUUCAUUCCUUGUUUUAGCCCCUUUAACACAGAUGACAGGAGUGUGUUUGUAACUGCAGAGACCGUCAGACCGUGCACAUGGAUAGAGAUUCAGAAGAAUCAGAAGAGGAUGUUCAAGAAGAGGGCAAAGCCUCUGUUUUAUGGGAGAGAUGUUUUGAGCAGAGCAUCUUUGUAGACCUCAGUGAGGAUGAAAGCAUCCACCUCAGUGAUCUGGACAAUUCUUUGGCUUUGCAUGUGUCUCGAGCAGAGUCUGCACCCUCUGAAAACAGCAUCCAUCUCAGUGGAAGUGCAGAGUUGUCAGCGUUGGAUGACUCCCCAUCGGAGAGCAGUCGAUCUAACAGUAACUGUGAGAAUGUGACUGAGGGUAAAACAGGGAGCAGUAAGUUGCCAAUGUCUCCUCAGAGACCAAACACCUUACAGAAUGAGUUUCCCCAAAAGCCUGGGUGUGGGGAAUCAGGAGGAAAUACCAGUGAUGAGGAUCAGGAGGACUUACCGUAUGAUGGUGACGUUGGAAGCCCGUACUUCAACCAGACAACUAGCUCAGAAGAAAAUUCGGACGGAGGGAACACCGUUCAUGGAAGUCCUGAUCCUCCGGCUCCACUGGAAUCGUUCCACAAAGACGCCAACACAGAUGAAGAAAAACCCUCUGCAGCUUCUGAGGCAACUGGGUUGGCUAAUCCUUGUUCAGAUCUGACAAACAUCAACCAUUUGCUGCUCCAGCAUUUUUCCCAGGAAGAGUUAUUGGGAUCCGGAAGGCUGAUUGAAGCAGAAACGCUGCCAGAAGUGUCCCUACUGGAGAGCGUGGACGACACUGUUGUCAGCUUCUCAGCCUACAACCAUGCAGAAAACUUAAGGAAGCAAACAGAAAGCUUUGAGGAAAGAAGUGAUUCCAAAUCAAACAAUGAAAGCUCAGAGGUAAAGACAGAAAAGGAAAUUGAUCAUCCAACAUCUAAUGCUUCUGCAAGUUCAAACCAGAGCAUUCAGAACACGAAUGCAGAUCUGUUGGAGCUUGAUGAUAAGAAAGAGGAUGUGCGAAUUCAAACAGUUCCUCUUUUGCGGACCAGAUCUCUUGGCGAGAUUAAAUAUGGUCAAGGCAAGGUUCAUUAUCGUCUUCCUGAUUUUUCCAAAGUGCCUUCUAAAGUAAAAAUCCCCAAAGCUCCAAGUGGUCCAGUGAAGCCUGUCCCUCCCCACUCUGACAGUGUACCCAGAGCCCAGUCUUCUCCUGACAUCUUAGAUGUGAUCAGCAGAGUCCUGGAGGACUUUGUCCAUCCUUCAGAGAAGCCCUACGUCUUCAACGCCAACGACAGACAGACUCCGUCAGUACCGCUGCAUCAUCUGCAGGAUCACUAUGACAAAUUACUAACCGACUAUACAACAGGAGAGAAUCAGAAAGACACAAUCAGGCACGGAACCAAAGUAAGUAAUAAAAACUAAGUUAUUAUGAGCCAUUAAAUGCAUAAUUCUAAAUAUGGGAUAAGGACAGAUUAAUCUUUUUUCACAGACCCAGAUGUUGUUGUCGGACCAUGAGCGAAACAGACUUUAUGAUAAAGACAAAAAGGAGGAGGUUGAGUGUGUUGAAAAUGGUCUUUUGCAGAGCUCGACUCCUCAUCUUCCAACAACAGGUAUACAAAUAUAAUUUUCUGGCACCUAGUUUUGUAGCCACUUUCUUUCAUUUGAUUCUUUUUAUGUGGUACGGUCCAAAUCUGACCUUUUUUUUGUUAAGAUCACUUAACUCACAUUUGCAGCUUUUUUAUUGAGAUUUAAAAGAUUUAAAAUGACCAUUGAUGAGUAAAGAAAGCCCAAUGACAGCAGAAACUUAAAAAAAGUUUUUUUCCCCUUGUCAGCAGUAGAUUUAAAGUGAAUUUAACACAAUAUUUUAAGUUUAGGUGUCUGAAAACAAGAAAAGUAAUUAAAAAGACAUUGCUUUGAUACACACAUUCAUUAUGCAAAAGUGCAAACUGACUUAUUUGUUGUGUAUCUGCUGUAUAAAGAUAAACAAAAGUUUCCAUAAAUUCAUCAUUUUAGAAAUAUUAUUAUUUCAAAAGAGAUUCAGCUAAAAUGGGUUUAAAAGUUUGCUGCAAAAUUCAACUUUUAGGUUUCCUGUUAAUAAUGGAUGAUGCAGGGGUAGAAUUGUUAACCUCUGAUCAGAAGAUCUCAGGUUCAGUUCCCACCUUACCUGCCCAUGAGUCAAAGUGUCCUUGGGCAAAAAGCUGAACCCUACAUUGAUCCUGGUGGUCAUAGGUUGGACUUUUGUAAGGCCCUGUGUGGGAACGUGUGUGUGUGCAUACAUGGGUAAAUGGGACUGUGACCGUAAAGCUCUUUGGACCUUCAAGGAAGGUAGAAAAGCACUAAUUAAAUAAACGCCAUAUACCAUAUGUUGAGGAUUUUUAAAAUAAAACAAAAUAUUUGUAGAUUUUUUGUCCAAUUCUGUCUUGGGACAAGAAAGCAAUCUAAAUAAAGAUAAAAACAUUUCCAUAAGAAAAUGAUAAAACAAGAACAGAGAUCUUAAACACAUCCUUUUUUACAGAAAUAUAGACAGGAUGCUGCUGUUAAUGGCUUAUUUCAUUUCCUUUUUUCAGUACCAACAUUUACAGUAAAGGAGAUGUUACAAUUUAGCAUUUUCUUGUUAUAGAAAACCUCUGUGAACAAACAGGAGAAAAAACUGAAAACAUCAAGGAGGGGGACUCGCUUUUGUCAAAGCAGCAUGAAGAUGUUCAGAGUGACGGCGAGAGAAUGACUGCUGAGCUGAGAGACAUCAUCAGCCAGUUCAUGCAUAAGGUGUUGGCCCUUUUACCACUCUCCUUGUAAACCAUUCACUCUUUUUUAUCUAAAGAAUAAAUAAAUACCAUAAUUCAUUGUAAUUUUUUUUCAGACGGACGAGUUCAAAUUUAGCGUUACCAACAUGACUGUGAGCACAGAUGAACAGCAAAUGGUAUACACCUUUCACUCUUCAAAACAAAAAAGACAUUUUUCCAGACCCUCUGCAUACGCGUUUACCGGUAUGUUAAACCUGUCUUUUGUAAGAUUUUGAGGAGCAUGAUGGAGGCUCAGGACCAUCUGGAGCGCAAAUACAUGAGUAAGAAAGAAGAGCAUAGAGCUCUGGAGAUGCAGAACUACAUGGGUCUGUCCAGGAACACGGGCACCUUUGACCCAAACAGGUAUGAAGAGCGUCACUCCAAUGAUAGCCCCCCCUGCAAUGUGUUUGAACAUCUAUCCAUGCGUGUGCAGGCAGCUGGAGGGAGACAUAUUCAGGAUCGGGAUGCACCUCGAGGACAUCAAGGAAAUGAUUGACAAGAAUGUGUACGAGCAGAUUUCUCUACCCCACUCAUCCUCCACCUCCACCCCCAUAACAGCCCAAAUGAAGACUGUUCCAUUUUGCACACCAUCAUCCCCUCCACACCCGCAUCAGGUAACACACUUACUGACAUACAGCUGCUGCUUUGUAGCAACACAAAGGCUUGUCAAAGUGUUUGACAUCAAAUUUUGACACAACUGACACCAACUUGUCAAAAAUAUGACAGUAUAAACACAAUUUCCUAAAAACACC